RNAcentral lists this non-coding RNA (24 nucleotides) under Mus musculus (house mouse). The record is from RNAcentral. Lineage: Eukaryota; Metazoa; Chordata; Mammalia; Rodentia; Muridae.
UCCAGCGAUCCUUGAACUCUGCCU